CCUACGGGCUGCAGCAGUGGGGAAUAUUGGACAAUGGGCGAAAGCCUGAUCCAGCAAUGCCGCAUGAGUGAUGAAGGCCUUAGGGUUGUAAAGCUCUUUUACCCGGGAUGAUAAUGACAGUACCGGGAGAAUAAGCCCCGGCUAACUCCGUGCCAGCAGCCGCGGUAAUACGGAGGGGGCUAGCGUUGUUCGGAAUUACUGGGCGUAAAGCGUACGUAGGCGGCUUUGUAAGUUAGAGGUGAAAGCCCGGGGCUCAACCCCGGAAUUGCCUUUAAGACUGCAUCGCUUGAAUCAUGGAGAGGUGAGUGGAAUUCCGAGUGUAGAGGUGAAAUUCGUAGAUAUUCGGAAGAACACCAGUGGCGAAGGCGACUCACUGGACAUGUAUUGACGCUGAGGUACGAAAGCGUGGGGAGCAAACAGGAUUAGAUACCCCCGUAG
RNAcentral lists this ribosomal RNA (438 nucleotides) under uncultured bacterium. Its description in RNAcentral is "bacterial SSU rRNA". It matches the Rfam family "Bacterial small subunit ribosomal RNA", at positions 338 to 793 of the family's 1533-position model. The record is from RNAcentral.